ACCUUAGAGACCAACUAAGUUUGUUAUUGGUAUGAGCUUUCGCGUGUAUCUGAAGAAGUGUGCAUCCACACGAAAGCUCAUACCAAUAACAAACUUAGUUGGUCUCUAAGGU
Non-coding RNA from Podarcis lilfordi (Lilford's wall lizard), 112 nucleotides. The record is from the annotation of a GenBank genome assembly. NCBI's taxonomy places the organism in Eukaryota, Metazoa, Chordata, Lepidosauria, Squamata, Lacertidae.